Molecule: non-coding RNA, 211 nt
Organism: Pelobates cultripes (western spadefoot toad)
Lineage: Eukaryota; Metazoa; Chordata; Amphibia; Anura; Pelobatidae
Source: the annotation of a GenBank genome assembly
AUUUAAAGGCACUGUAACCAGAUGGGGUCGGGCCCCACCACAAACAUAACAGUUAGUUUUGUUGUGUGAAUUAGCAUUAUACCUCAUCCAUUCAAGCCAUUCAAGGGUUAAUGGUCAUGUGUGUGUGGAGUCUACCCAGUCAGGUGAUGUAAGCAUGUCUUGUAAAUAGAAGGUCCCCAAAUUGUUAUAUGAGCCACCCCCUUUCCAAUAC